Long non-coding RNA from Nicrophorus vespilloides, 683 nucleotides. RefSeq lists it as uncharacterized. The record is from RefSeq and is a predicted model, not a curated record. Lineage: Eukaryota; Metazoa; Arthropoda; Insecta; Coleoptera; Silphidae. The transcript has 2 exons.
UGUUUAUUUUUUUCAUAAUUGUCGAUUCAUUUCAUGUGUUUAAAGGAAGUUUACGUUAAUUUCCUGCUCAAUUAACUCCAGUUUAGGGACCUUUUGUAAUCGGAAACAAAACACACACACAUAUAAAAAGAACAAGAAGGGAUGAAGAAAAGGGAAAUGUGGGCUUUGAAUUAUUGAAUCGUUCCAUUAUGAAUAUUCCGGAGAGACGAUUCAAAGUAAUACUUCAAUUAUUCACGAGGCACCGCGUGUAACGGAAAAUCUGCGCGUCUCGCGACUUCUCCCAUGCUCCCCAAACAUUAUCAUCAUCCUCCUCCACCUCAGUUCGCUUCGCGAUAGGAAGCCAGGUGGCAGCUGUCCAUCCAAACAGAACCACCGGAUCGCACUUUCAUCAACAACAAACACAAAGUGAUGGUCGUCGUCUCUUCUACACCUGCAGUGACAGAACGACACUUGGUGAACCAACCGUGAAUACAUGCCACACUUGUGCUGAAGAUUGGUCCAUGGCUGGACCGUCCACAUCGGCAGGCACACAUGCUGCUGCUCGCCUUUUGUACACGCCAAUCGCCCGCCCCCGGGAACCCCUCCCGAAGCCACCACCACGAACAGCAACCGCCCCCAACGAUUCUAGAUAAUCCAACCGCCCAUCAGAAAACCUCCCCUAGACUAAUUCAAUAUUAGAAAAA